Molecule: long non-coding RNA, 399 nt
Organism: Ostrea edulis (European flat oyster)
Lineage: Eukaryota; Metazoa; Mollusca; Bivalvia; Ostreida; Ostreidae
Exons: 2
Source: RefSeq, a predicted model, not a curated record
AGGGCACAUAUAUUUUUUGUGUAUGCACGAGCUCGCUGCGAAGAAUGUUCCUGUUUCACUGGACAUUGUACUGAACUGCUGUUUUCUAGAGAAACUACUUAUUCGUAUAUCGUACGAAGUUGAGGAAGUCACAUGAUGCCAAUCAUUGACUUAAGAAUAAAUUUUCCAGGCAUACGCAUAGACGAUUUGUUUCUAUUUAUUAUGGACGGUGGUCAGUACAACUGCAUAACUGUAAACGAGAGCAGAAUUCCUCCCUUUAACAGUGUUUAGAAUCAGCUUUCCAUGAUGCGGCGGAAUCCCACUCUAAAUCCAAAUCACCGGUAGGAAAUAAUAUUAUAGAGCCACUAAUCCUACUAUGUAAGACCAAACUAAUGAAAUAAAUGCCAUAGAUUUAUCAAU